GAUGAACGCUGGCGGCGUGCCUAAUACAUGCAAGUCGAGCGAACAGACGAGGAGCUUGCUCCUCUGACGUUAGCGGCGGACGGGUGAGUAACACGUGGAUAACCUACCUAUAAGACUGGGAUAACUUCGGGAAACCGGAGCUAAUACCGGAUAAUAUAUUGAACCGCAUGGUUCAAUAGUGAAAGACGGUUUUGCUGUCACUUAUAGAUGGAUCCGCGCCGCAUUAGCUAGUUGGUAAGGUAACGGCUUACCAAGGCAACGAUGCGUAGCCGACCUGAGAGGGUGAUCGGCCACACUGGAACUGAGACACGGUCCAGACUCCUACGGGAGGCAGCAGUAGGGAAUAUUCCGCAAUGGGCGAAAGCCUGACGGAGCAACGCCGCGUGAGUGAUGAAGGUCUUCGGAUCGUAAAACUCUGUUAUUAGGGAAGAACAAAUGUGUAAGUAACUAUGCACGUCUUGACGGUACCUACUCAGAAAGCCACGGCUAACUACGUG
Molecule: ribosomal RNA, 497 nt
Filed under: uncultured bacterium
Lineage: Bacteria
Description: partial 16S ribosomal RNA
Rfam family: Bacterial small subunit ribosomal RNA
Source: RNAcentral